AACGAACGCUGGCGGCAGGCCUAACACAUGCAAGUCGAGCGGUAGAGAGGUGCUUGCAUCUCUUGAGAGCGGCGGACGGGUGAGUAAUGCCUAGGAAUCUGCCUAGUGGUGGGGGAUAACGUUCGGAAACGGACGCUAAUACCGCAUACGUCCUACGGGAGAAAGCGGGGGAUCUUCGGACCUCGCGCCAUUAGAUGAGCCUAGGUCGGAUUAGCUAGUUGGUGAGGUAAUGGCUCACCAAGGCGACGAUCCGUAACUGGUCUGAGAGGAUGAUCAGUCACACUGGAACUGAGACACGGUCCAGACUCCUACGGGAGGCAGCAGUGGGGAAUAUUGGACAAUGGGGGCGAACCCUGAUCCAGCCAUGCCGCGUGAGUGAUGAAGGCCUGGUUGUAAGGACUCUUUGGUCGGGUACGGAGUG
Molecule: ribosomal RNA, 421 nt
Filed under: uncultured bacterium
Lineage: Bacteria
Description: bacterial SSU rRNA
Rfam family: Bacterial small subunit ribosomal RNA
Source: RNAcentral